GAUCACUAUUAAAAUCAAGUACCAGCUGCGCUUGUCUAACGAACUGCUCUGGAUGACUCCAUCACCGUGCUGAUGUGGUGCACUUCGAAACUCACAACCUCUUCUUGUUGGACCUUAACUAAACAAACACAAAACACUUAUUCAUAUGGGCCUUUAUCAAAACCGAUGGCUCAACUCACAAAAAAAAACACAAACCCAUAUGGUUUGUUGACUUUCUUUGACUCCUCUCUUGUCUUCUCCGACACCCCGACAACGUGUUCUUCUUCCUUUCUUCAUCUUCUGAUUCUCUCACUGUUCCUUAUUUUCUUUGUUGCCGGAUGAUCUUGGUUCAUCCUCCGAAUGCAGUGAUUUUGGAGCAUCGUCUCUCCUUCCUCCCAUUGACAACGUCUGAAAUCAAAACGGACCAGAUGUUGUUGGUCAAUGGUCGGGCUUUCUCUGAUUAGUGAGUGAUGAGAUGACGAAGAUGAUCAGUGUGGCCUAAAACGAUACCGUUUAACGAUUUGGGAAUUGGGCUUUUGGUGUUAGUUGGCCCACCACAUUAUUUAUUUAGGGUCCAUUGGCAUUAGUUGAUGAGACGUCGUCAUUUUCUGGAGCCCCUUUUAUCUGAAAUCAUAACGGAACAGAGGAGACUGAGAUCAUCUAAGCUGCUUUGGUGGUAUUUGAUAAAGAGUUUGAGUUUAGGCUUUUUGGGGGGUUUUGGAACAGUCCCCGACCUUGGCUUUGAGAGUUGAGACUGCUUGUAGACAGUGGAGGAGUAGCGGCUGAUGAUUAUAAAUAGUGAAAACCCAAGGAACAAAAACUAAACCGCAGAAAUCAGGUUUUUGUUAUCGAUCAAUGAUGGCUUUGAUGGAAACGCUUCAUCUCCUCUCUUCUAACGGCGGAAGAGACCCAACCCAGAGCCUCGGUUGGUUGUGGAAUAGCAACGCGGCGGCGGACAAGUUCGACGGCGGAAGAGACCCAACCCAGAGCCGGAUUUGUUGUUACACAACACUGGUUUUGGGAUGAUGCCUUUAUUGAUCAAUGAUGGCUUUGACGGAAACGCUUCAUCUCCUCUGUUCUAUAGUCUUCAGGGGUUUUGGAUGCUUCUCUCUUAUAGAUAAGAGUAAUGACUUUGAUGGACACGCUUCUUCUCUCUGCUAACGUCUUCUAGGGUCUUUUUGAAGCAAACCAUGAUCCAAUCAUCACGUAUCGCUAAUCCAUGCUAUUGUCUUCAAGCCUUCUCACAGAUCGAGGUGGUGGUCCAUGCACUGUGGGAUUGCUCUUGUUGAAUCUUAUCUCCUCGUCUUGGUAUGCAGAAGUCUGAGCUCCUCUGAUGUGGUUUAAUCAUUCAGAUCAUCGAGACACCCGAGAUUAAUGUAUUGGAGGGUUUGAAGAGAAGAAAAUACAUUGUGGAAGUGAAUGGUUUGCGUGGUAUGCUUAAGUUUGAGCUCCUCUAAUGCACAUGGCUGGACAUGUGGUUUAAUUAUUCAGAUUUUGGGGGAUCCUUUGCUCUGUCGGUGAUGGUUCUGAUGGAUCGUUGUCUUCUCUGAGCUACACAUCUUAAGACCAUCGAGAUUAAUGUGUGUGAGGGUUUGAAGAGAAGAAAGAAACAUUGUGAAAGUGAAUGGUUUGCGUAUGAAGCUAGAACCAUACAAGUAGAUCGAGUGAUGGCUUUGACUGAUCCUUGUCACUCUCAUUCAGUGUUGCUCUUCCGGGUUUGGUAUUGGAUGAUGCUUUGAUCGAUCAUUGAUGGCUUUGAUGGACUCCUUCUUCUCUGUGCUCUACGUCUUCAUGGACGAGGAGGCACCUGGAUUACUGACUGUGUGGGAGGUUCAAAUAGAAAACACUGUGGGAGUUUAACUUUCAGAUGUUCUUGCCGUGGACACACACAUUCAGAUGAGAGAUGCUCCACAAUUUCUUUCCUAGACGAGAGGAGAGUUUGUUUUUAAGCUUUGUCCUUUGAUGCAGAUCCUCGAGGCAAUGGUAUCACUGUACAGGAGGUGGUGUGUUGGAAGUGAAUCAUGGAGGCUCCUCCCGCUUCUGAAUUGUCACACGCUCGCACCUCCUCGGCUCUUCCUACGAUCGUCGUCACAGUCCAGGCACUAGGAUUUCUUUGUUGAAUUGAACUUUUAUCUUCUCGUCUAGAAUCAGGGUCUCUGCUACUAAUUAUGAUGCACAAGGCUGGUCAUGUGGUUUAUUUUAGGUACUUCCUCAUCUUUCCCGUCUGCUAUUUUAAGUUUUGGACUGUGCUUCCUUUCUCCUCUUUUGAUGCAGUUCCUCGAGGCACCUGGAUUACUCUCUGGGAGUUUAACUUUUUCAGAUGUUCUUGCUGUGUACACACAAAUUCUUUCCUAGACGAGAGAGAGAGAGAGAUGAAGCAAAGCAAACACGAGAGAGUCAAUUUGAAACGACGUGUGUAACUAAGGAGAUUGUUGUGUCUGCCUCUGACAUUAUUAUUUAGAUUUUUUUAUUCUACAGGAUGCAAGCUAAGGUAAGGUUAUCGGUGGUGGGAUGAGAGAGAGAGGCUGGAAUUGAUGGAGCUAAACGAAGAGAUUUGUUCAUUGGUCUCCGGAGACCAGCGAGAGAGGUGGGUGAGGCUUAAAAAGCUAGUUUCUCGGGUGAUUGACAGUGGAGCUACUAACAAGCCACAGGAGUUGGAUGAUGCAGUACUUAAUUUAGGAGUUUAGGGCUUGUCUCGUAUUUGAUGGUAAUCCAUUGGAGUCCUACCUAUCUGUACCUCUUGUGGAGCUGACAUGUAUUUGAGGCUGCUCGUGCUUUAGCUAAUUUGGCUGCUCAUGGAGAUAGCAACAAGCGUGUUCUUGAUGCCCUUGUCCCUUCUGUUCUUGGUGGAACCUGUGUCAUUCCUGGUGCUUUUGGCUGUGGGAAAGCUGUUGUCUGCCAGGCACUUUCCAAGUACUCCAACUCUGAUGCUGUUGUGUAUGUUGGUUGUGGAGAGAGACGAAAUGAAACGGCGGUUGAGGCUCUUAUGGACUUCCCACAAUUGACUAUGACGUUGCCUGAUGGUCCUGGGGAAUCUGUCAUAAAACGUACCACACUUGUUACCAAAGAUGCCCGUGGCUGCUCUUGAAGCCUCAAAUUACGCAGGAAUCACAAUUGCUGAAUCUUUUAGAGAUAUGGGAUACACUGUCAGUACGAUGGCAGACUCAACUUCCCGUUGGGCAGAAGCAUUGAGAGAAAUUUCAAGACGACUGGUAAUCAUUUGCGUUUCAUUGUUGUGUAGGUCUUCUGGGCUUUGCACAAAAGCUUGCCCAGAGAAAACAUUUUCCCUCUGUUAAUUGGUUUCUUUCCUGCUCAAUGUAUUCAAAGGCAUUGAAAUCUUUCUAUGCAACACCUCUUUGGCCUUUGUCCUGAUGUGGAUGAAACCUGGAUCGAACUGCUCAUAGAAAGAUUUCAGGAACUGAGGGAAGACUAACUUGCUCAAAACGCGUUUACACCAUAUGACAAAUUCUGCCCUUUCUACAAGUCCGUGAGGAUGAUGCGUAACAUUAUCCAUUUCUACAAUCUAGCCAACCUGGCAGUUGAGAGAGCAGCUGGAAUGGACGGUCAAAAGAUUACUUCCACAAGGAUUGGAUGAGUUCAGGUUUAAUCAAGGAGCCGCAUUGCUGCUUACUUUUAAUGCAAAGCUCACAGGAAGAUGUCCAAGAGAGAUCAGCUACUGGACUUGCAAGUUUCGUAGUUAUCGAUAAUGAGAAUGCUAGUAUAGACUGUGGAAGAGCUGAAGCAGUUAUGAAAGACGGAGGUAUCCGUCUUCUUCUAGAACUUGCACAAUCAUGGCGAGAAGGGCUUAGCUUCAGUCAGAAGCUGCAAAGACUAUUGCAAAUUUGUUGGUAAAUGCUAAUGUUGCAAAGUCUGUUUCUGAAGAAGGAGGUACCAGAAUUCUUGCUGGUUGGCAAAGUCAAUGAACGGACUUGUGGCGGAGGAAGCUGCUGGUGGACAAAUGUACAUGCUCUUGUGAUGUUAGAUCGGAAUUGCAAGUUCGAGGGAGUGCAAGGACAGGCUGCUCGUGCUUUAGCUAAUUUGGCUGCUCAUGGGGAUAGCAAUUAGACAAGAAGCUGCUGGUGCGUUAUGGAAUUUGUUGUUUGAUGAUAAGAAUCGAGAAUCUCUCGCUGCAGCUGGUGGCGUUGAAGCUUUGGUGGUGCUGGCGCAGCCUUGUUCAAAUGCUUCGACAGGUCUUCAAGAAAGAGCUGCUGGUGCACUUUGGGGAUUAUCAGUGUCAGAAGCAAACAGGUGCUAAAAGCAUCUGAAUCUAAGUUUUAUGUGUUGCGUAUAUAGAUUGUCACCUGAUUUGUUAAAGAUUAAUGCAGAAGCAUAACAAGGCAAGACCAUCUUACUUUAACAUGUUACACAUGCUGAUACUUUUUCUUUUGCUUGCACCAAGUCUUGGCUUUGGUUAGCAGAGAAGUUUUAAAGGAGAGUCUUAUCAAGAUAUUGUUAAUGUCAUUUGCCUUGAUAAUGAUUCCUGUCUUUGCGAUUGGACGUGAAGUUGAGGAUGUACAUGAAACUGUAGCAGGAGCUCUAUGGAAUUUUGCUUUUAAUCCUGGUAAUGCACUCCGCAUUGUUGAGGAAAGAGGAGUUCCAGCUCUUGUACACCUGUGUUCGUCUUCUGUCUCAGAAAUGGCUCGAUUCAUGGCUGCAUUGGCUUUGGCAUACAUUUUUGAUGGAAGGAUGGAUGAUGAAUACACUCUGAUGAUAGGAACAUUUUAAUCAGAGGGCACAUCGAAAAGCAUUAGCUUAGAUGGGCCAAGAACGACGGCUCUUAAACACAUUGAAGCUUUUGUUAAAACUUUCAUGGAUCCUCAAAUCUUUGCAGCUGCUCCUGUUUUAUCUACUCCUAGUAUGUUGGCACAAGUGACAGAUAGAGCUCGCAUACAGAAGCUGGGCAGCACCUGAGAUGCAGUGAGGCUGAAAUUGGAAGAUUUGUAACAAUGUUACGUAAUCCUAAUUCGACAGUCGAAGCUUCAAUGUUAAUAUGUGAUAACAAACAUUGUGCUACGUUAACGUUUGCGUACCUGCAGCAGCUUCUUGUCCAGCUAGUCAUGGCAACAACAACUAGUAACACUUCUGUUGGAUUCAGAAAUUUUCUCACUGUCUUUUAGAUCGUCAAUCAUGCCUUUUAUCUAUCUGUCACAAAGAGUCAAUUUCAUGAAUAAAGCUGCAGUAGAUUUAUAAUA
Molecule: non-coding RNA, 5171 nt
Organism: Camelina sativa (false flax)
Lineage: Eukaryota; Viridiplantae; Streptophyta; Magnoliopsida; Brassicales; Brassicaceae
Source: RefSeq, a predicted model, not a curated record